GCUGGGUGUGGUGGCUCACGCCUGUAAUCCCAACUACUCAGGAGGCUGAGGCAGGAGGAUUGCUUGAGCCCAGGAGUUUGAGACCAGCCUGGGCAACAUAGCAAGACCCCAUCUCAA
Unclassified non-coding RNA from Macaca mulatta (Rhesus monkey), 117 nucleotides. It matches the Rfam family "Metazoan signal recognition particle RNA". From Rfam's summary of the family: The signal recognition particle (SRP) is a universally conserved ribonucleoprotein. It is involved in the co-translational targeting of proteins to membranes. The record is from Ensembl. NCBI's taxonomy places the organism in Eukaryota, Metazoa, Chordata, Mammalia, Primates, Cercopithecidae.